ACGGCUCAGUAACACGUGGAUAACCUGCCCUGCGGUGGGAAAUAACCCCGGGAAACUGGGGAUAAUGUCCCAUAGACUACGGAUACUGGAAUGUUCUGUAGUUCAAAGAUUUAUCGCCACAGGAUGGGUCUGCGGCCGAUUAGGUAGUUGUUGGGGUAACGGCCCAACAAGCCUUUGAUCGGUACGGGUUGUGGGAGCAAGAGCCCGGAGAUGGAUUCUGAGACACGAAUCCAGGCCCUACGGGGCGCAGCAGGCGCGAAAACUUUACAAUGCGGGAAACCGUGAUAAGGGAACUCCGAGUGUCCGUAAAUGCGGACUGUCCGUAUGUUUAAAAAGCAUGCGAAGAAAGGGCCGGGCAAGACCGGUGCCAGCCGCCGCGGUAAUACCGGCGGCUCGAGUGGUGGCCACUAUUACUGGGCUUAAAGCGUUCGUAGCUGGGUUGUUAAGUCUCUUGGGAAAUCUAUCGGCUUAACCGAUAGGCGUCCAAGGGAUACUGGCAAUCUAGGGACCGGGAGAGGUGAGGGGUACUUCAGGGGUAGGAGUGAAAUCCUGUAAUCCUUGGGGGACCACCUGUGGCGUAGGCGCCUCACCAGAACGGCUCCGACAGUGAGGGGCGAAAGCUGGGGGAGCAAACCGGAUUAGAUACCCGGGUAGUCCCAGCCGUAAACGAUGCGCGUUAGGUGUAUCGAUGACCACGAGUCAUCGAGGUGCCGAAGGGAAACCGUGAAACGCGCCGCCUGGGAAGUACGGUCGCAAGGCUGAAACUUAAAGGAAUUGGCGGGGGAGCAC
Molecule: ribosomal RNA, 789 nt
Filed under: uncultured Methanomicrobiaceae archaeon
Lineage: Archaea; Methanobacteriati; Methanobacteriota; Methanomicrobia; Methanomicrobiales; Methanomicrobiaceae
Description: bacterial SSU rRNA
Rfam family: Archaeal small subunit ribosomal RNA
Source: RNAcentral